This is a long non-coding RNA of Acinonyx jubatus (cheetah), 1472 nucleotides long. RefSeq lists it as uncharacterized. The transcript has 5 exons. NCBI's taxonomy places the organism in Eukaryota, Metazoa, Chordata, Mammalia, Carnivora, Felidae. The record is from RefSeq and is a predicted model, not a curated record.
CAGUAAGUUUCUCUCACUGAAUUUCAGGAAGACUUCUCUGUCCCUUUCAUUUUAGGAUGAAGAAUCUGAGAGCUAGAAGCAAACUUCUCAGGGCCCAGGCCAACACUCUCAUUUUUUUGGAUGAGAAAACGGGUACCCACAGAGAGGAGUUACCUUGUCUGUGAUCUCAUAGUUCAUUAGGGUCAGGACUUGGCUGGGCACCCAGGUGCCCUGACUCCCCGGAUUCUUCUGCUUCCACAUACUAAGGCGUCUUUUGGGUGGUGAGAGCUGGUCAAAGGUGGAACCAGGCUCUUGGGGCUUGGUCUUGAUGACCAGUGAGAUCUCCAUCACUUGGAAGUAUGGAGCAGAGGUUGAAAGGGAAUCUGAAAAACCAGAGAGCAAUGUGGUCACUCUCUCUCGGUCAUCCACGUUGGCCUGCUGAUCUUCAAAAUCUUCACUUGUUUCAGGCUUGGAAUUUUAGACACAGCUGCCUAUUUGCGAUGCCCGGGAAUAUUGAGGAAGGUCAAGACUCUGCUGUCAGUGGACUGCUCAAGCCCUUGCACCCAUUACGUUAAGAAGGAAGCAUGUCAGUGGCGACCAGGAACUGAGGCUCGGGGACGUCGAUGGAAUUGCCCGAGAUUCACACAGCCCUUUGGUGGCUGAGCCAAGGGCUGCAAACAUUGCCUUUGGAGAACUGGACUACGGAUCCUAUAUAAAUACCGUGCUGCCUUUUAAUUAUAUGCUGAAGAUAAGGCUUAUUGACUUGGAACAAUCAGAAAAUAAGAUGAUGCCUAUAAUUAGGGAUUCACUGUGCUGAGAAUUUUCAGAGAAGGACUGAGGCUUUAUUGACAGCAGAGUUCACUGCCAAGACAAGAGUGACGUGUUUGCAACGAGACCACCCGAGCACCCGUGAUGUGGAUGUUAAAGUCUCCACAUUGGAGCCAGAGAAGCUGAGAGUUGGAGAGUCUACAUCACUUGCCUGAGGUCCCAGAGCUCGAGCUUUAAGAAGUAGACAAUUAUGUGGCAGAUUCAUGACUUCACUCUUCAAGGAAAAUACUUCUGGAUCCAGCAAGGAAGACAGUCAUGGGCCAUUGGUUUCUAAAAUUGCUACUUCUCCAAAAGCCCUCAGAUGAAGAAGCUGCCCACAGUCGACCCCUCUCACAAGGCUUGACUGAAAACCUGGCCCCGUGUCAUCCAGUGAGUCAGUGGAUUGCUGUUUGAUGUCAAUGCUGGUCCAGCAGUGGGUUUUCCAGAAUGCAGAGGUGGAAGGCAAGGCAGUCUCCUUCCCUCAUGGAGCGCAGUUCCUUGAUGGAGCCUAGUUAUCCUCUUUCUGCUGAAGUUCCCUCAUCUUGACUCUUCCAGCCCUACUCUAUUCCCUUCAACAUGGGGCACCAGCAGCCUUGGCUGGGUAUUGGCAAGUUUUAGCAGAAUUGAUGCUGCCUUGGUGGAGCAUUAGCAAGAUUGUUGGAGCAGGACAGGAGGUAAGUUGUAAG